GUAUGUUGCCAAACCUCCUUGUCAAAGCCUGAUGAAGUCAGAUCUCAGAUGCUAAGUAGGGCUGGGGCUGGUUAGUACUUGGAUGGGAGACCGCUGGGAAUAUCAUGUGCCGCAGUGG
RNAcentral lists this ribosomal RNA (118 nucleotides) under Periophthalmus magnuspinnatus. Lineage: Eukaryota; Metazoa; Chordata; Actinopteri; Gobiiformes; Gobiidae. The record is from RNAcentral.